UUUUGGGUUUUGGUACAUAAUUCCAUAUUCACCGCCGAAUCCCAAUCCGUAAAGAAGUCCUAAGGCUCAUACCAGUCGCCGGCGACGCCGCUCUUCAAUCAUCCAACACCGUCCGGGCUCCGGCUACUUCUCCGAUGUGACCAUGAGAAGCGGAAAAGUGCUGUAGCUUGCAUAACUGAAGUUAUUGGAGAGAACAAUUCUGAACACUUUUUUGUCGCUACUCAAGAUGCUGUUUUGCGGAGAAAAAGAUACGUGGUGUGCCUGUAAUUUAUGCUCUUAGGAAUGCAUUUUUUCUAGAACAACCAUCAUCAUUUCAACGUCAAUUUGCCAAAUCUGCUGAAGAAGAACGCCUUCAUAUGACUGACCUGGAGUACAAUAUGCUUAGACUUAGGAAAAAGAGGAGAUUGUCUGAUGAUGAACAAGGGGUUUCUUUGGAUGCACCAGAGGAAGAGGUAGACAAUUUUCCAGCAGUUCAGACUAUCAACUAUCAAGACAAAUGCUAAGAGGACUGGAAGUGAUGUCAAGGAUAUUGUUCGCUUCAAGAGAAUUAAAGCUAAGGGUCCAAAUCCACUAUCGACAAGAAGAAAAAGAAAUCUGUGGUUACACAUGUUACUACAUCGGGAAAGGAAAGCAAGAAUGGUGAUGGAAAUGUGAGAAGCAGGAGGAAAAGGGAGAGGUUGAACGAGCACAAAAAUGUAGUGGAAGGAAAUAUUUAGGGGUUGUUUGGAUGUAAAAAAGUUAUCCCAGGAUUAAUUAUCCCGGGAUUAGUUAUUCCAUCUUUCCAUGGGGAUAAAAAAAUACUACAAUUCCGGGAUAACUAAUCCGCGGAUUACUUAUACCGUAAUUUUAUCCCAACCAAACAUGGGAUAAGCUCUUCUUAAAUUUAGUCCCGGGAUUAAUUAUUCCUUAUCCUUCGUACCAAACGAGCCCUUAAUGUACAGGCAUCCACCAGGAAAUCUUUAGCUCAUGACUUGCUUUGUAAUAUCGGGUAAUGGUAAUCUAUAAAGUUAGGAGUCCAAAUCCUGAUGCUGCAUCAUAAUGAGAGCAUUUUUUUAGAGCUCAAUUUAACUGAAGGCGCAGCUGUGAAAGUGCCAACACAAUGUACAUUGUAGAAGCUGCAUAAUUGCUUUGGAGUUUUAUGGGUCUACGACUUCUUUUCUUAGUGGUUAAUUUUGAAUGGAUCAAGA
Molecule: non-coding RNA, 1187 nt
Organism: Nicotiana tabacum (common tobacco)
Lineage: Eukaryota; Viridiplantae; Streptophyta; Magnoliopsida; Solanales; Solanaceae
Source: RefSeq, a predicted model, not a curated record